AAACAAACUAGACUCAGAAAAUUUUAUUUUCUUUAGUGUUCAUUCGUUAUUAUUACCAGAAUUCAUUAUGUUCAUAUUAUUAUACCAUUGUCUCCUUUAUUGUAAUAUUAUGCUAUUGGCCUAAACAGCAGAACCACUGUUUUUUCAUUGUCAUCUUCUUAAUCUGAAAUAAGUUUUAAAGGCUUUCUUAGUCUCCUAAAUAGGUCUCUGUUCAUUUUGACUCAGUCACUCCCAGUCAUUUUUGUAUUGAUCCAUGCCAUCAUUUCGUGUUCACUCUUAGAUGUAAGCACUCCUUUCC
This 298-nucleotide long non-coding RNA is filed under the name Bos taurus (domestic cattle). Its description in RNAcentral is "long non-coding RNA NONBTAT000438". The record is from RNAcentral. Lineage: Eukaryota; Metazoa; Chordata; Mammalia; Artiodactyla; Bovidae.